This 590-nucleotide small RNA is filed under the name Pongo abelii (Sumatran orangutan). Its description in RNAcentral is "processed transcript". Lineage: Eukaryota; Metazoa; Chordata; Mammalia; Primates; Hominidae. The record is from RNAcentral.
AUUCUUUCACAUCUCUAAAUAGUUGAAAAACUACCCAAACACUAGCAACAAGAUUUAGCCAGAUGAACCUCUUGCUUCCCUCUUAUGAACUUAUUAAAGGUGCGUUGGAUCGUUGUGUGAUGGGGAUAACAGCAGUUGAGAUUCUAAACGCUUGUGAUGAAGCUGUUCCUGCUGCUGUUGAUUCACUUAGUCACCCAGCAGUCAACCUAAAACAAGCUAUGACGAGACGUAGUCUUGCUGCUCUUAAAAAUAUGGCCCAUCAUAAGCUACAAACCCUUGCAACUAACCUCUUGGCUUCUGAGGCAUCUGACAAGGGAAAUUUACCUAAAUAUUCUCAUAACUCCCUGAUGGUUCAAGCAAUAAAGACAAACCUAACAGACCCGGACAUACAUGUGCUAUUCUUUGAUGUGGAAGCGUUGAUUAUUCAACUCCUGACUGAAGAAGCCUCUAGGCCGAAUACUGCUCUUAUUUCCCCAGAGAAUUUGCAAAAAGCAUCUGGCAGUUCAGACAAAGGGGGCUCUUUUUUAACUGGAAAACGAGCAGCAGUUCUCUUCCAACAAGUGAAAGAAACGAUCAAAGAGAACAUCAAG